Molecule: long non-coding RNA, 1713 nt
Organism: Antechinus flavipes (yellow-footed antechinus)
Lineage: Eukaryota; Metazoa; Chordata; Mammalia; Dasyuromorphia; Dasyuridae
Exons: 6
Source: RefSeq, a predicted model, not a curated record
GGAGGGGGGAAAGGCCUGUUGGGGGAGAGGACAUGUGGGAGGGAAGAUGUACCUAUAGUUACUCUCUGUGUCAUCUCAUGGAAUCAGAUUUGCUCUAAGCUCAGGUCUGUGGUGAUGGCUUGAAGUGGGCCAGGGGCAGAAAUAGGUAGUAAUUUCCUUUAACUUGUGGGUCUUUACAAUAAAUUUCCCGCCCAUCAAAGCCAGAAAAUUCAUUGAGACCAAAGCUCUGCCUAAUUUCUAAAAGCCAAAAGCAAGAAAAGGAUAAAGGAGGAAAGGAAAGACUAUUGUUGUCUCGAGGUGUGCUCUUUGGACACAACAAACUAAACUUUAACUCAAUAUAAAUGUUAGGACAGAAGCAGCUGCUGCUGCUACCAAAAAAGCCCACCAAGUGCUAUCAUUUGCUUUCUUGCCUCACAGAGUUUGUUAAAAUUAAAUGAGGGUAAUUUAUUAAGGAAAGCAAAGGGCCAGGGGUAAGUUGAUAAUAAUAAUAAGCAGUAGAAAGACCAGCAACUGGCUUGUCUGUGAUAAGGGAUUCAAAGAAAUAGAACUUUGAGGCAGGAAGCAAUGUAUAUUCCCCAGCCUGCUCAUCAACUUCCUCACCUCAUCUCAACCUCUCAGCAGUUUGGAGCUGCAAGUGGAGAUAUGUGACCACACUACAUUCAGGGAAGUGCCUUCUCAUUCUUGCCUCCUCCUUACACCACACUAUACAAAGUUGUCCCUUCACUCAGACCCACUGUUUAUUUCUCAGGCCCCAGACUUAAGAUAACCAAUCUUGCCUUAAGCACCUGAGAAAAUGACCAGACUAUUGCUUUUAAGGGUUGUUUCCUUUCAGAUUUGCCAGGUCCACCAGGAAAAAUUCAUCACCUUUGGUCCUGACAACAUCAAGUUUACUGCUUUGGUGUUUACCUUGAGUCUCUGUAAAGUUGUGUCUAAGGAAAGAAACUUCAGAGGGGACUCUUGAAUACCAGGAAAAUAGAAGCAACUGCCUUGCAUUGUGGGAAGCCCUAAAUGUAUCUUCAGAAUAAACUCCAACAAGGGUGGUGAGGAGAAAGGACAUGGAAGAGAAAUUAGGGCUGUUCCUGAGGUACAGCAUCAAGCCAGAAUACCAUAACCAAGUUGUGGGAAUUUUAAGAAACAGAAAAUCUAUUCCUGAUUAUCCAGACUUCCUUCUCCAUAUCAUAGCAGCCUUCUCAUUCUGGAAGAUACUUUGGCCACCAUGAUCCUGCACAGGAAUCUCCAACUUGAUAAAUUUCUUCAUCUCACAGGGCUCAGCUGAUGCUUAUUUGUCUUCCUAAUUCGUGGGAGACCUCCAGCUGCCACUCUGUGAUGAGGAGUCACUAUGGAGCUUGAAUACAUCUCUACCCAAGCAGAAACCAUGUCCCAUUGAUCAGUUUGGGCAAACAUUCAUUAAUUGCUUCCUUAUGGGCAAAGAAUUGUGCAAGAUGCUAGGAAAAUGUCUCUACCCGCAGAGAGCUUAACUUUUAUUAAGGGGACAAGUCCACAGAAGAAUACUGUACAAGUUACGUGUGAUGAGGUCGAAGGAGAUUAAAAAAAAGUUUACUAAGAAAACUGGAGAAUUGGAAGAAAUUUUUUAACUAAAGAGAGGAUCAAAGUCAAUAAAAACUUCAUGAAAAAACUGGCAACUUAUAGGAAAAAGAAUGAUUUGGAUAAAGGAGAUGUCUACACAUCAUGAAUAAAGCUCUGCAAGUAAGG